UUCCUUGGAAAAGGACAGCUGAGAGGGUGAAACUCCCGUCCGCCUGGUAGAAUGAGUCUUUGUCAACGAGUCGAGUUGUUUGGGAUUGCAGCCCUAAUUUGGUGGUAAAUUCCAUCUAAAGCUAAAUAUUGGUGGGAGACCGAUAGCGUACAAGUACCGUGAGGGAAAGAUGCAAAGAACUUUGAAAAGAGAGUUAAAGAGUACCUGAAAUUGCUGAAACGGAAGCGAAGGAAACCAGUGUUUGUUGGUUCAUAUUUCCUUGGCCACUUGUGGUUUGGGCG
RNAcentral lists this ribosomal RNA (281 nucleotides) under Pseudo-nitzschia fraudulenta. RNAcentral's name for it is "partial 28S ribosomal RNA". It matches the Rfam family "Eukaryotic large subunit ribosomal RNA", at positions 186 to 475 of the family's 3401-position model. The record is from RNAcentral. Lineage: Eukaryota; Bacillariophyta; Bacillariophyceae; Bacillariales; Bacillariaceae.